AAGUCGUAACAAGGUAUCCGUUGGUGAACCAGCGGAUGGAUCAUUACCUGACAUGUUCAUGCCAAAUUUGGUGUGGCUGACUCUGGUUGGCCUCUGGCUUGGUUGGUUAAUCAGCCUGCCAGUACUUGUAGUGUGCAAUGACGAGAAGUUGGUGUUGAGGCCAACGGUAAGUCGCACGCUUGACGAGUGAAGGGGUUGUUGGGACGGAUGAAAGUAUCCAGGCGAGAUGCCUCCUCAACCCCUAAGACUGCCGAUGACUUCACUUAAGCGAUUGUCUCUAAAGAUGACAACUGCUGGCCGUGGAUCACUUGGCUGACG
This 318-nucleotide unclassified non-coding RNA is filed under the name fungal sp. RNAcentral's name for it is "partial internal transcribed spacer region". The stretch from base 1 to 46 matches the Rfam family "Eukaryotic small subunit ribosomal RNA", at positions 1786 to 1831 of the family's 1831-position model. The record is from RNAcentral. Lineage: Eukaryota; Fungi.